This 223-nucleotide ribosomal RNA is filed under the name uncultured bacterium. Its description in RNAcentral is "partial 16S ribosomal RNA". It matches the Rfam family "Bacterial small subunit ribosomal RNA", at positions 356 to 569 of the family's 1533-position model. The record is from RNAcentral.
AGGGAAUCUUCGGCAAUGGGGGCAACCCUGACCGAGCAACGCCGCGUGAGUGAAGAAGGUUUUCGGAUCGUAAAGCUCUGUUGUAAGUCAAGAACGGGUGUGAGAGUGGAAAGUUCACACUGUGACGGUAGCUUACCAGAAAGGGACGGCUAACUACGUGCCAGCAGCCGCGGUAAUACGUAGGUCCCCGAGCGUUGUCCGGAUUUAUUGGGCGUAAAGCGAG